Vicia villosa (hairy vetch) is the source of this 1171-nucleotide long non-coding RNA. RefSeq lists it as uncharacterized. Lineage: Eukaryota; Viridiplantae; Streptophyta; Magnoliopsida; Fabales; Fabaceae. The transcript is spliced from 4 exons. The record is from RefSeq and is a predicted model, not a curated record.
UUUUCCCUUCUCUCUCUUCCGUAACUCUUUCCUUCUCUCUCACUAUUUUCUCUUUUCUCCUUUCCGUUUUCCUUUCAAACCCUAGCAAAUCCAAUCUUUUUCCUUCAAACUCCCUCUCUUUCCGCCGUAAACGCAGAAACAACCAUGUCAUUCUUUAUCUUUUCCCUUCAAACCCUCUUUAAAAAUUUUCAUUUUCACUCCUUCGUAUUUGUUAGAUCUAUGGUGUUAUAUAUGAUUUAAAUUUUUGUUUGAUUCUUCUCAUUUAUGGUGUUUUUUUUAGGGGUUUUGAUUUCAGAAGAAAGAAGAAAGUAAACAACAAAUCUUUUCAAAAGAUUUACAUGUGGUGACCAUUGUUUAUGAUUUUAGUGCUUUUAUCAUGCUGAUUCUUUUAGUGUUUUUUUCUUUAUGUUUUUAUCAUAUUUAUUUUGCAUUUGUGGUUUUAUCUUAUGUUCAUCACCAUACAUAUGUAUUUCCAGAAACUCCAAUCAGUUCAGGGACAGUUGUGGCUCAGAGAUGAAUAUUCUUUAUCCUAAAGAUCCAGGUUUUUAGUGUCAUGGUGUGAAGAUGUUCAUGUUUAUUUCCUUCUUCCAGUUUCUUCCCUUUUGAUCUAUAAUCUGAGACUGCAAAAGUUACACUUUCUGGAUAUUAGAUAUUUGAACAAGGAGUGCAGUCUAGAUAGAGAGAAUUUGAGAGAACUAUAACUCUGGUUAUCUGUAUCAUUCUUCUAUUCAGAGUAACCUCCAUCAGAUGUGGCAGAAACAUCGGGACAUUCAGGGAGGUUACUGACAUUGAGAUUUUCUGAUUCGAAGGAGGACGGAAGGGUUUGUGCCUUUUCAUCGGUGUUUGGAAACUUCAUGACUAAGACGGUUAUGCUGAGACGGUUAUCACGGUUGAUAAGAAGCUUAGCAAACUCAAGGGUGGAUCCUAAAUGUCCCACACCCGGCGAAGGGAUAAACACCACUUCUACUUUCUUCAUCCUAAACACAGCACUCAACACAGUUAUAUUACAUGUAAUUGUUAAAUAGCUAGAAGCACAUUAUAUAUAACAAAUAGUAUUGUGAGUGAUGGUUUUGAAUCUGAAAUAUUGUGUGGUGAGAAACUAUUCAGAAACGUGAAUUAUUAUCUUGUCUUUAACUUGUAUGGCUAUCUGAAAUUUGUUGUUUUCUACAAA